GACGAACGCUGGCGGCGUGCCUAACACAUGCAAGUCGAGCGGAGAUAAUUAAAAGCUUGCUUUUGAUUAUCUUAGCGGCGGACGGGUGAGUAACGCGUGGGCAACCUGCCUGUUACAGGGGGAUAACACAGGGACACUUGUGCUAAUAUCGCAUCACACAACGCGGUAGCAUUACCUUGUUGUCAAAGGAGCAAUCCGGUAAGAGAUGGGCCCGCGUCCAAUUAGCUAGUUGGAGGUGUAACGGACCACCAAGGCGACGAUUGGUAGCCGAACUGAGAGGUUGAUCGGCCACAUUGGGACUGAGACACGGCCCAGACGCCUACGGGAGGCAGCAGUGGGGAAUAUUGCACAAUGGGGGAAACCCUGAUGCAGCAACGCCGCGUGAAGGAUGAAGGUUUUCGGAUUGUAAACUUCUUUAGUCAGGGACGAAAAAAAUGACGGUACCUGAAGAAUAAGCCACGGCUAACUACGUGCCAGCAGCCGCGGUAA
RNAcentral lists this ribosomal RNA (489 nucleotides) under uncultured bacterium. Its description in RNAcentral is "partial 16S ribosomal RNA". It matches the Rfam family "Bacterial small subunit ribosomal RNA", at positions 28 to 523 of the family's 1533-position model. The record is from RNAcentral.